UAACUCUGGAACUGCCAUCAAAACUUUUUAGCUAGAGUAUGAUAGAGGAAAGCAGAAUUUCUAGUGUAGAGGUGAAAUUCGUAGAUAUUAGAAAGAAUACCAAUUGCGAAGGCAGCUUUCUGGAUCAUUACUGACGCUGAGGAACGAAAGCAUGGGUAGCGAAGAGGAUUAGAUACCCUCGUAGUCCAUGCCGUAAACGAUGUGUGUUAGACGUUGGAAAUUUAUUUUCAGUGUCGCAGCGAAAGCAUUAAACACACCGCCUGGGGAGUACGACCGCAAGGUUAAAACUCAAAUGAAUUGACGGGGACCCGCACAAGUAGUGGAGCAUGUGGUUUAAUUCGAAGAUACGCGCAGAACCUUACCAACACUUGACAUGUUCGUCGCGACUCUAAGAGAUUAGAGUUUUCGGUUCGGCCGGACGAAACACAGGUGCUGCAUGGCUGUCGUCAGCUCGUGUCGUGAGAUGUUGGGUUAAGUCCCGCAACGAGCGCAACCCUCACUUUUAGUUGCCAUCAUUAAGUUGGGCACUCUGAAAGAACUGCCAGUGAUAAGCUGGAGGAAGGUGGGGAUGACGUCAAGUCCUCAUGGCCCUUACGUGUUGGGCUACACACGUGCUACAAUGGUAUCUACAACAGGAAGCAAGACUGCGAGGUCAAGCAAAUCCCUAAAAGAUACCUCAGUUCGGAUUGCGCUCUGCAACUCGAGUGCAUGAAGCUGGAAUUACUAGUAAUCGUGGAUCAGCGUGCCACGGUGAAUGCGUUCCCGGGUCUUGUACACACCGCCCGUCACACCAUGGGAGUUGGUUCUACCUUAAGGCAAGGUUUAAUACCCUUGACCACGGUAUAGUCAGCGACUGGGGUGAAGUCGUAACAAGGUAGCCGUA
RNAcentral lists this ribosomal RNA (883 nucleotides) under uncultured bacterium. Its description in RNAcentral is "bacterial SSU rRNA". It matches the Rfam family "Bacterial small subunit ribosomal RNA", at positions 610 to 1504 of the family's 1533-position model. The record is from RNAcentral.